UUCGUAGGUGGUGCGGCAAGUUGGGAGUGAAAUCUCUGGGCUUAACUCAGAGGCUGCUUUCAAAACUGCCGCGCUCGAGUGCGAGAGAGGUCAGUGGAAUUGCAGGUGUAGCGGUGAAAUGCGUAGAUAUCUGCAGGAACACCCGUGGCGAAGGCGGCUGACUGGAUCGCAACUGACACUGAGGAACGAAAGCUAGGGGAGCAAACAGGAUUAGAUACCCUGGUAGUCCUAGCCCUAAACCAUCGGAACUUGGGGUGGCCCGCGUAGGCGGGUCGUCCCGUAGCUAACGCGUUAAGUUCCGCGCCUGGGGAGUACGGUCGCAAGACUGAA
Molecule: ribosomal RNA, 330 nt
Filed under: uncultured bacterium
Lineage: Bacteria
Description: bacterial SSU rRNA
Rfam family: Bacterial small subunit ribosomal RNA
Source: RNAcentral